RNAcentral lists this ribosomal RNA (409 nucleotides) under uncultured bacterium. RNAcentral describes it as "bacterial SSU rRNA". It matches the Rfam family "Bacterial small subunit ribosomal RNA", at positions 355 to 776 of the family's 1533-position model. The record is from RNAcentral.
UGGGGAAUAUUGCACAAUGGGCGAAAGCCUGAUGCAGCGACGCCGCGUGAGGGAUGACGGCCUUCGGGUUGUAAACCUCUUUCAGCAGGGAAGAAGCGAAAGUGACGGUACCUGCAGAAGAAGCGCCGGCUAACUACGUGCCAGCAGCCGCGGUAAUACGUAGGGCGCAAGCGUUGUCCGGAAUUAUUGGGCGUAAAGAGCUCGUAGGCGGCUUGUCACGUCGGAUGUGAAAGCCCGGGGCUUAACCCCGGGUCUGCAUUCGAUACGGGCUAGCUAGAGUGUGGUAGGGGAGAUCGGAAUUCCUGGUGUAGCGGUGAAAUGCGCAGAUAUCAGGAGGAACACCGGUGGCGAAGGCGGAUCUCUGGGCCAUUACUGACGCUGAGGAGCGAAAGCGUGGGGAGCGAACAGG